This 733-nucleotide long non-coding RNA is filed under the name Mustela putorius furo (domestic ferret). RNAcentral describes it as "lncRNA (ENSMPUG00000024402.1)". Lineage: Eukaryota; Metazoa; Chordata; Mammalia; Carnivora; Mustelidae. The record is from RNAcentral.
AUGAUUGUAAAGCUCUUUUCUGAAGCCCUUAAGAAACCUCAGAGCUUUCUUUGGAUCACAAAUGAGCUGAAGAAGAGCUUGUCUCCAUUCUUUGGUUUGCCUAUUUUUGAGGAGAAGAAUGUAAAGAAAAGACUUUUAACUGAGAAGAGAUAUAGUUCUCUCUAUUGGCUAGCUCCCAGUUUUGUUCACAUGGCUUCUGGUGCCUUUCCGAUCUGGUAAGGCUGUCCUUCGUUGCAUAUAUAUUAUACUGAUAUUUUGAGUUUUGUGGAGUCACAUAGUACUGCCUCUAUACUUUUUCUUUUAACUUCAAAAGCACAAGAAUAAUUUUCCUACAAUAUAUAGUUUAUAAAGAAAUCUUAAUGUAUUCUAUUUUUAGAAAUACUAAAAUCCUUGAGGAUUUAUCAAAGGAUAAAUCCUUUAGGAUCUAAAUCCUUGAGGAUUUCUAAAUCUGUGAGAAUGAAUCAAAAAUGCUAUCUUAAAAAAUAAUGUAUGUACAAAAUAAAAAUCACAGAAUUUAAAACUGCUUUCAGAGUAUGUCAUGUAUUGUCUAUCACUACUACCAUUAAAGAGACUGUGGUGGGAGCAGAGAUCCCAAGGGAACUAACACUUAUUAGGUACCCUGCAAUAGGUGCUUCUGCAGCCAUAGAAGCCAUUUAAUCCAUGAGUACUUGGUUUAAGUCCAAUUAGUUUCAUUUUCACAGAUAACAGAAAAAGGCUCAUUUGUGAAGUAAAG